This 105-nucleotide small RNA is filed under the name Propithecus coquereli (Coquerel's sifaka). RNAcentral's name for it is "Y RNA (ENSPCOG00000012259.1)". The record is from RNAcentral. Lineage: Eukaryota; Metazoa; Chordata; Mammalia; Primates; Indriidae.
CUUUAGGCCGGUAGCGAGUUAUCUCACUUGAUUGUUCACAAUUACAGAUUGAACUUCUUGUUCUACUACUUUCCCACCUUCUCACUACUGCACUUGACUAGUUUU